AAUGUGGUUAAUGAUGCUCAACUUUUUUCCCCAUCUUAUCGACCAUGGUGAAUGCAAUCUGACUUUAGCCAGUUUGAUCUGAAACCACAUU
This is a small nucleolar RNA of Cynoglossus semilaevis (tongue sole), 91 nucleotides long. Ensembl annotates it as small nucleolar SNORD12/SNORD106. The record is from Ensembl. Lineage: Eukaryota; Metazoa; Chordata; Actinopteri; Pleuronectiformes; Cynoglossidae.